RNAcentral lists this long non-coding RNA (1012 nucleotides) under Oryza brachyantha (malo sina). Its description in RNAcentral is "long non-coding RNA (OBRA_LNC002677)". The record is from RNAcentral. Lineage: Eukaryota; Viridiplantae; Streptophyta; Magnoliopsida; Poales; Poaceae.
UCACAUGAGUGGUGACAAUUUCUGCAUAACUUCAGUACACUCAGGAUGAGCCUUUCUGACUAAAGAAAUUAACGAAUGACUAGAUUUGUAAACUAGGAGGAGACAUUAUCCUGGCUAUGUUUCACCUAAUUGUGCUCCUGUGACAGUUCUUUGCAGUUUUCUGCAACCUGACCAUGUUAGCAUGUUCAUUCAAAGCUAGUCAUUGUGCAUAGUCUUCACCUGGCAACAGCAACACCAUUUCGCACAGUUUGCCCCCAUCAAAUGGCUGGUCGACGCCAUUGGCUUCUCGGUGCAUUCCAAGCCCACACAUGUAAUUCGAUCAUUUUAGAGAAUGCAUCAUGAUCUUAUUGAAUCCCUCAACUCGACCUCAAAGGAUGACAGGUUUCUAGUUCUCACAACCUGUCACUUGGAUUCAUAUAUGUUAGUUUCAUUUCACGGUGAGUAAAAUUUUUGAACUCAAAAUGAAUGGUGAGUAAAAGUUUCUAGAUGUUUUGGAUAGCCAUGUAGAGAGGCUCUAUCUGUUGUGACUUGUGAGAGUUUGUAGGCACAAAGCAUCCUGAUGGGAUGUACUACGUUCAAGAGAUGGCUUACAUUUACUCAUUUAAAAGACUCCAGGCAGUAAUAAACAGUGAAUAUUUGCCUUCAUCCACCACCACUAACAUGUUGGACCAUAAAACAAUGAGCCUUAUUUUUACUAGAGUAACAUGAACCACUUUGUUAUAUGUUAAACCAAUAAUAAAGAGAGUUAUGCAUAAAACAUUUAAAGGGAAGAUAUCAAAUUCCAGCAGUAAAUCAAGUAAGAACUUAACCGCAGCUUCAUUCUUCCUGGUUUGUCUGUCCAUCUCCUAUUGUUCGGUGAUGUUGGCAGCGGUCACUUUGGUCGAACUUGAUUAUUUUGAAUAUUUGAAGUUCAUGAAACUUUGGUCGAACUUCAGUCCUUCAGGCCUCCUAUUCCUAGCCUCCCAGACUCUGCUCUGGGAGCUACGACCCUAUCAGUACAUACAUAGAUUAU